Molecule: signal recognition particle RNA, 98 nt
Filed under: Spirochaetales bacterium
Lineage: Bacteria; Pseudomonadati; Spirochaetota; Spirochaetia; Spirochaetales
Description: signal recognition particle sRNA small type
Rfam family: Bacterial small signal recognition particle RNA
About the family: The signal recognition particle (SRP) is a universally conserved ribonucleoprotein involved in the co-translational targeting of proteins to membranes. Archaeal SRP consists of a 7S RNA and homologues of the eukaryotic SRP19 and SRP54 proteins.
Source: RNAcentral
UGGCGGGCUUCGUGCGAGAAAUUAUUACCCAACCCCGUCAGGUCCGGAAGGAAGCAGCGGUAAGUAAUUUAUUUCUGUGUGCGUCCGGCUCACUGGUU